RNAcentral lists this long non-coding RNA (247 nucleotides) under Elaeis guineensis (African oil palm). RNAcentral's name for it is "long non-coding RNA (EGUI_LNC080099)". The record is from RNAcentral. Lineage: Eukaryota; Viridiplantae; Streptophyta; Magnoliopsida; Arecales; Arecaceae.
CCUUUAUCAGGACCUUAUCUAGGCUAGAGAGAAAGAAUAAAGAAAAUUGAACAAGCAGAGCCUCUUGUAAGAAAGAAAGAAGAUUUCUGAAUCACUCAGACUCCUCGGCGUGCACCCCUAUUUAUAUUGCACGUAAAGGUGCAAUCCAAAACAUCUCACACCCUCUGACAAUUUAUCUCAUGCCUCUUGUCUAUUUCUCAUGCCCCAUAAAUUAAGAAAUGCCAUGUGUACAUCAAAGUUGGGUUGA